AGGACGAACGCUGGCGGCGUGCUUAACACAUGCAAGUCGAGCGGAAAGGCCCUUCGGGGUACUCGAGCGGCGAACGGGUGAGUAACACGUGAGUAACCUGCCCUUGGCUCUGGGAUAGCUCCGGGAAACCGGAAUUAAUACCGGAUAUUACACCGGCUGGCAUCGGCUGGUGUGGAAAGAUUUAUCGGCUAAGGAUGGACUCGCGGCCUAUCAGCUUGUUGGUGGGGUAGAAGCCUACCAAGGCGACGACGGGUA
This 255-nucleotide ribosomal RNA is filed under the name uncultured bacterium. Its description in RNAcentral is "partial small subunit ribosomal RNA". It matches the Rfam family "Bacterial small subunit ribosomal RNA", at positions 26 to 285 of the family's 1533-position model. The record is from RNAcentral.